GUUUCGGGGAUUUAGCCGGCAAUAACGGCCUUUUAAGCCGUCGGUCAGGGGUUCGAAUCCCUUCUGGGACG
This 71-nucleotide transfer RNA is filed under the name Paenibacillus selenitireducens. It matches the Rfam family "tRNA". From Rfam's summary of the family: Transfer RNA (tRNA) molecules are approximately 80 nucleotides in length. Their secondary structure includes four short double-helical elements and three loops (D, anti-codon, and T loops). Further hydrogen bonds mediate the characteristic L-shaped molecular structure. tRNAs have two regions of fundamental functional importance: the anti-codon, which is responsible for specific mRNA codon recognition, and the 3' end, to which the tRNAs corresponding amino acid is attached (by aminoacyl-tRNA synthetases). tRNAs cope with the degeneracy of the genetic code in two manners: having more than one tRNA (with a specific anti-codon) for a particular amino acid; and 'wobble' base-pairing, i.e. permitting non-standard base-pairing at the 3rd anti-codon position. The record is from Rfam by way of RNAcentral. Lineage: Bacteria; Bacillati; Bacillota; Bacilli; Caryophanales; Paenibacillaceae.